Molecule: ribosomal RNA, 465 nt
Filed under: Vreelandella stevensii
Lineage: Bacteria; Pseudomonadati; Pseudomonadota; Gammaproteobacteria; Oceanospirillales; Halomonadaceae
Description: partial 16S ribosomal RNA
Rfam family: Bacterial small subunit ribosomal RNA
Source: RNAcentral
CCUACGGGAGGCUGCAGUGGGGAAUAUUGGACAAUGGGGGGAACCCUGAUCCAGCCAUGCCGCGUGUGUGAAGAAGGCCCUCGGGUUGUAAAGCACUUUCAGUGAGGAAGAACGCCUGGUGGUUAAUACCCAUCAGGAAAGACAUCACUCACAGAAGAAGCACCGGCUAACUCCGUGCCAGCAGCCGCGGUAAUACGGAGGGUGCGAGCGUUAAUCGGAAUUACUGGGCGUAAAGCGCGCGUAGGUGGCUCGAUAAGCCGGUUGUGAAAGCCCCGGGCUCAACCUGGGAACGGCAUCCGGAACUGUCAAGCUAGAGUGCAGUAGAGGAAGGUAGAAUUCCCGGUGUAGCGGUGAAAUGCGUAGAGAUCGGGAGGAAUACCAGUGGCGAAGGCGGCCUUCUGGACUGACACUGACACUGAGGUGCGAAAGCGUGGGUAGCAAACAGGAUUAGAUACCCGAGUAGUC